CCCUUUUUGUGUGAGGUGAGAACAGUUAAGAUCUACUCUCUCUUAACACUUUCAAGUAUAUAAUAGAAUGUUGUAUAACUAG
Molecule: non-coding RNA, 82 nt
Organism: Ceratotherium simum simum (southern white rhinoceros)
Lineage: Eukaryota; Metazoa; Chordata; Mammalia; Perissodactyla; Rhinocerotidae
Source: RefSeq, a predicted model, not a curated record